AUUUCGGUAAAUAAAUGUUGACCGAUAAAUCAAAGUGUCAACGCUCAUGUAUUACAUAAAUUUUACACGUAGCGUGCGACUCAACGAAAAUUGAAAUGAGUUGGAAAAGUCAUCAAAUAGGACACGUGUCAACACCUGGCAGAAACGACUUAUUUCAUCUGGGAUAUUAUAUUCAAAAUUAGGCCUUGGAAAAUUCUAUAAAUACAAGCCCAUUUCAUU
This 219-nucleotide long non-coding RNA is filed under the name Malus domestica (apple). Its description in RNAcentral is "long non-coding RNA (MDOM_LNC012215)". Lineage: Eukaryota; Viridiplantae; Streptophyta; Magnoliopsida; Rosales; Rosaceae. The record is from RNAcentral.